RNAcentral lists this ribosomal RNA (878 nucleotides) under Tetraclita singaporensis. Its description in RNAcentral is "partial 16S ribosomal RNA". It matches the Rfam family "Bacterial large subunit ribosomal RNA", at positions 711 to 2526 of the family's 2925-position model. Lineage: Eukaryota; Metazoa; Arthropoda; Thecostraca; Balanomorpha; Tetraclitidae. The record is from RNAcentral.
UUUCUCGAAAGUAAAAGAUCUAAAUAAUUUUGUUAUUUUUUGUGACAAAAAAAUUGAAUAAGUUUGUUUAGGUGUGAAAUGCUAAUCGUUUUUACUAAUAUCUAGUAACCUUAGAAAAAAAUUUAGUUUGGGUCGUAAAAGGGUUUUUUGUCUUUUUUAUGGACUUAUAUUUUAGGGGAUGAGCUCUAGAAUAAAUUAAAAGAAGAAAUAAAUUUAUAUUUUUUGUAGGCUUAGAAUUGGUCACAAGAUAGUGUUAUAAAAUAGAAUAGAAAGUUUAGGAUUUCAUCUUCUUUGGAAUUUAUAAGGUUAAUAAGAUAAUGAAAGAAUUGUUGAAAAUAUGAUAGUAUAAGUAGAGUUAAGUUUGAAAUUCCCUUGAUAAAGAAAUUGGACAUGCUUAUAGCAAAAGAACUCGGCAAAGAAGAUUUCCGAAUGUUUAACAAAAACAUUUCCUCUCAGAAAAGGGAGGUAAGGCCUGCUCACUGAGUUUUGAAGAGCCGCAGUAUCCUGACUGUGCUAAGGUAGCAUAAUCAUUAGUCUUUUAAUUGAAGACUGGUAUGAAUGGCUAAACGAGAAAUCAACUUUUUUUGCUAUAAAAAUUGAAUUUAAUUUUUUAGUGAAAAAGCUAAAAUUUUUCAGAAAGACGAGAAGACCCUAAGAGUUUUAUAUUUUGGAAAAUUUUUUCUUAGUAGAUUUUUUUGGGUAAAAUUUUUUGAGAAUAUUUUGUUGGGGCGACAUUUAGAUAAAAAAAACUCUUUAUUUUUUAAACUUUUUUUAAAGAAUUUAUUGAUCCUUUAGAAAAGAUCAAAAGAAAAAAUUACCUUAGGGAUAACAGCGUAAUCUUUUUUGAGAGUUCUGAUCGACAAAAAGGUUUGCGACCU